Molecule: ribosomal RNA, 881 nt
Filed under: uncultured bacterium
Lineage: Bacteria
Description: bacterial SSU rRNA
Rfam family: Bacterial small subunit ribosomal RNA
Source: RNAcentral
ACAUGCAGUCGAGGGGCAGCGGGAGGAGUGCUUGCACUUCUUGCCGGCGACCGGCGCACGGGUGAGUAACACGUAUGCAACCUGCCUCCGUCAGGGGGACAACCCGGCGAAAGCCGGGCUAAUCCCGCGUAUAUUCCGUGAGGGCAUCCUUACGGAAGGAAAGGCUUCGGCCGGACGGGGAUGGGCAUGCGGCGCAUUAGGUAGUCGGGGGUGUAACGGACCACCGAGCCGACGAUGCGUAGGGGUUCUGAGAGGAAGGUCCCCCACACUGGUACUGAGACACGGACCAGACUCCUACGGGAGGCAGCAGUGAGGAAUAUUGGUCAAUGGUCGGAAGACUGAACCAGCCAAGCCGCGUGAAGGAAGAAGGUGCUCGGCAUCGUAAACUUCUUUUGUCAGGGAACAAAGGGCGGUACGUGUACCGCUGUGAGUGUACCUGAAGAAAAAGCAUCGGCUAACUCCGUGCCAGCAGCCGCGGUAAUACGGAGGAUGCGAGCGUUAUCCGGAUUUAUUGGGUUUAAAGGGUGCGCAGGCGGCGCGGUAAGUCAGCGGUAAAAGCCCGGGGCUCAACCCCGGCGAGCCGUUGAAACUGCCGUGCUAGAGUAAGGUCGAGGUAUGCGGAAUGCGCGGUGUAGCGGUGAAAUGCAUAGAUAUCGCGCAGAACUCCGAUUGCGAAGGCAGCAUACCGGUCCUUUACUGACGCUCAGGCACGAAAGCGUGGGGAUCAAACAGGCUUAGAUACCCUGGUAGUCCACGCAGUAAACGAUGAAUACUGGGUGUUCGGAAUGUAGAUUCUGAGUGCCGAAGCGAAAGCGUUAAGUAUUCCACCUGGGGAGUACGCCGGCAACGGUGAAACUCAAAGGAAUUGACGGGGGGCCCGC